CAAUUCCCGAGGUGUUGGAACGGUUCAAACUGACCAUAGCUUCAAUCACAUUCCCUUCAUUCAUUCUUGAUUCUCUGGUCUGAUUGAGCCGCGCCAAUAUCGCGUGCCUUCUG
This 113-nucleotide microRNA precursor is filed under the name Phaseolus vulgaris (common bean). Lineage: Eukaryota; Viridiplantae; Streptophyta; Magnoliopsida; Fabales; Fabaceae. The record is from RNAcentral.